This 482-nucleotide ribosomal RNA is filed under the name uncultured bacterium. Its description in RNAcentral is "bacterial SSU rRNA". It matches the Rfam family "Bacterial small subunit ribosomal RNA", at positions 29 to 506 of the family's 1533-position model. The record is from RNAcentral.
UUGAACGCUGGCGGAAUGCUUUACACAUGCAAGUCGAGCGGCAGCGCGGGGGCAACCCUGGCGGCGAGCGGCGAACUGGUGAGUAAUACAUCGGAACGUACCCAGUUGUGGGGGAUAGCCCGGCGAAAGCCGGAUUAAUACCGCAUAAGUCCUGAGGGAGAAAGCGGGGGACCGCAAGGCCUCGCGCGAUUGGAGCGGCCGAUGUCAGAUUAGCUAGUUGGUGGGGUAAAGGCCUACCAAGGCGACGAUCUGUAGCUGGUCUGAGAGGACGACCAGCCACACUGGGACUGAGACACGGCCCAGACUCCUACGGGAGGCAGCAGUGGGGAAUUUUGGACAAUGGGGGCAACCCUGAUCCAGCCAUUCCGCGUGAGUGAAGAGGGCCUUCGGGUUGUAAAGCUCUUUCAGCAGGAACGAAACGGUCGGCUUUAAUAAAGUCGGCUAAUGACGGUACCUGCAGAAGAAGCACCGGCUAACUACGU